AACGAACGCUGGCGGCAGGCUUAACACAUGCAAGUCGAACGCCCCGCAAGGGGAGUGGCCGGCGGGUGAGUAACGCGUGGGAACAUACCCUUUUCUACGGAAUAGCUCUGGGAAACUGGAAUUAAUACCGUAUACGCCCUACGGGGGAAAGAUUUAUCGGGGAAGGAUUGGCGCGCGUUGGAUUAGCUGGUGGGUGGGGUAAAGGCAUAGCAAGGCGACGAUCCAUAGCUGGUCUGAGAGGAUGAUCAGCCACAUUGGGACUGAGACACGGCCCAAACUCCGACGGGAGGCAGCAGUGGGGAAUAUUGGACAAUGGGCGCAAGCCUGAUCCAGCCAUGCCGCGUGAGUGAUGAAGGCCUUAGGGUUGUAAAGCUCUUUCACCGAUGAAGAUAAUGACGGUAGUCGGAGAAGAAGCCCCGGCUAACUUCGUG
This 431-nucleotide ribosomal RNA is filed under the name uncultured bacterium. RNAcentral's name for it is "partial 16S ribosomal RNA". It matches the Rfam family "Bacterial small subunit ribosomal RNA", at positions 29 to 507 of the family's 1533-position model. The record is from RNAcentral.